RNAcentral lists this ribosomal RNA (853 nucleotides) under Staphylococcus aureus. RNAcentral's name for it is "partial 23S ribosomal RNA". It matches the Rfam family "Bacterial large subunit ribosomal RNA", at positions 1300 to 2149 of the family's 2925-position model. Lineage: Bacteria; Bacillati; Bacillota; Bacilli; Caryophanales; Staphylococcaceae. The record is from RNAcentral.
GUGUGAGUAGCGAAAGAUGGGUGAGAAUCCCGUCCACCGAUUGACUAAGGUUUCCAGAGGAAGGCUCGUCCGCUCUGGGUUAGUCGGGUCCUAAGCUGAGGCCGACAGGCGUAGGCGAUGGAUAACAGGUUGAUAUUCCUGUACCACCUAUAAUCGUUUUAAUCGAUGGGGGGACGCAGUAGGAUAGGCGAAGCGUGCGAUUGGAUUGCACGUCUAAGCAGUAAGGCUGAGUAUUAGGCAAAUCCGGUACUCGUUAAGGCUGAGCUGUGAUGGGGAGAAGACAUUGUGUCUUCGAGUCGUUGAUUUCACACUGCCGAGAAAAGCCUCUAGAUAGAAAAUAGGUGCCCGUACCGCAAACCGACACAGGUAGUCAAGAUGAGAAUUCUAAGGUGAGCGAGCGAACUCUCGUUAAGGAACUCGGCAAAAUGACCCCGUAACUUCGGGAGAAGGGGUGCUCUUUAGGGUUAACGCCCAGAAGAGCCGCAGUGAAUAGGCCCAAGCGACUGUUUAUCAAAAACACAGGUCUCUGCUAAACCGUAAGGUGAUGUAUAGGGGCUGACGCCUGCCCGGUGCUGGAAGGUUAAGAGGAGUGGUUAGCUUCUGCGAAGCUACGAAUCGAAGCCCCAGUAAACGGCGGCCGUAACUAUAACGGUCCUAAGGUAGCGAAAUUCCUUGUCGGGUAAGUUCCGACCCGCACGAAAGGCGUAACGAUUUGGGCACUGUCUCAACGAGAGACUCGGUGAAAUCAUAGUACCUGUGAAGAUGCAGGUUACCCGCGACAGGACGGAAAGACCCCGUGGAGCUUUACUGUAGCCUGAUAUUGAAAUUCGGCACAGCUUGUACAGGAUAGGUA